Molecule: long non-coding RNA, 714 nt
Organism: Hyaena hyaena (striped hyena)
Lineage: Eukaryota; Metazoa; Chordata; Mammalia; Carnivora; Hyaenidae
Exons: 3
Source: RefSeq, a predicted model, not a curated record
UUCUCAAACUUGGUUGCAUAUGGGAAUCACUUGGGGAACAUAGAGAAAAACUUAUAUCUGGGUUCUUUCCCAAAGACUCUGAUUUCACUGGCCCAGGUGUAAUGUGGACAUUGGAUUUUUUUUUUAAAGCUCCAAGGUGCCUCUGAUGCACGGCCAGAUUUGAGAACAGCUGAUUUACAUGUAGUAUCUCCACCCUGAGGGAAUCCUGUCUUCAGAUCCAUGUGGCCUCUCUCAUGAAACAAGAAGCAGCCUCCUGGUAUGUGGCAUUUGAUUUCAGAGGCAAGACUUGGAUUGAUGUGAAGAUUUGCCUGAGGAAGCAUUUUGCCUCUGUGACUCUUUUCAUCUAUAAAGAAAUCACUCAGACAUUAAUUUGGGGCAUAGCGUUACCAAAUCGAGACAAGUGGAGCAUACCCAUCAUCCAUCAGAAAUGACUCUAUGGAGCUCCGACCCCAGUUGGAACAUUCCUGCUGCUGUUCACAGGAAGGGCACAUGCCUUUCAUGCUCAGCAUGGACAAUCGCUGACUGCAUCAAAAGACUACCCCCUCAUGUAGAUGACAGAAAACGCACAGUCUUUUACUUAGCUGUUAAUGAGUCAUGGCUCUGUGGCCGGCAGCAAAUGUGGCUGGCCACUGCAGGGCUAUUGUGAAGAGGCAAAUACUUUUAUCCUCCAGGGUUUUGGGUGCUGCCUUCAAGUUUUGUCAAGAAGAGGCUGGU